This 215-nucleotide unclassified non-coding RNA is filed under the name Glomus sp. Its description in RNAcentral is "partial contains 5.8S ribosomal RNA and internal transcribed spacer 2". The stretch from base 1 to 71 matches the Rfam family "5.8S ribosomal RNA", at positions 84 to 154 of the family's 154-position model. The record is from RNAcentral. Lineage: Eukaryota; Fungi; Glomeromycota; Glomeromycetes; Glomerales; Glomeraceae.
GUGAAUCAUCAAAUCUUUGAACGCAAAUUGCACUUUCUGGUAUUCCGGAAAGUAUGCCUGUUUGAGGGUCAGUUAAAUAAAAAUCGGUGUAGUUGCUGCCUGUCGUGGCGACGCGUCGGAAUUGGGUCGUCUUACCUCUGGUUUAGUGUCUUAAAAUUUUUGCAUGAUUUUCGUAUGUAUUUAAAUCGCUUAUAUACGAUUGAGAUAUCGAAUGC